AGUGAACGCUGGCGGUAGGCCUAACACAUGCAAGUCGAACGGCAGCACAGGAGAGCUUGCUCUCCGGGUGGCGAGUGGCGGACGGGUGAGGAAUACAUCGGAAUCUACUCUGUCGUGGGGGAUAACGUAGGGAAACUUACGCUAAUACCGCAUACGACCUACGGGUGAAAGCAGGGGACCUUCGGGCCUUGCGCGAUUGAAUGAGCCGAUGUCGGAUUAGCUAGUUGGCGGGGUAAAGGCCCACCAAGGCGACGAGCCGUAGCUGGUCUGAGGGGAUGAUCAGCCACACUGGAACUGAGACACGGUCCAGACUCCUACGGGAGGCAGCAGUGGGGAAUAUUGGACAAUGGGCGCAAGCCUGAUCCAGCCAUACCGCGUGGGUGAAGAAGGCCUUCGGGUUGUAAAGCCCUUUUGUUGGGAAAGAAAUCCAGCUGGCUAAUACCCGGUUGGGAUGACGGUACCCAAAGAAUAAGCACCGGCUAACUUCGUGCCAGCAGCCGCCGUAA
This 506-nucleotide ribosomal RNA is filed under the name uncultured bacterium. RNAcentral's name for it is "partial 16S ribosomal RNA". It matches the Rfam family "Bacterial small subunit ribosomal RNA", at positions 29 to 523 of the family's 1533-position model. The record is from RNAcentral.